This 425-nucleotide ribosomal RNA is filed under the name uncultured bacterium. RNAcentral's name for it is "partial 16S ribosomal RNA". It matches the Rfam family "Bacterial small subunit ribosomal RNA", at positions 354 to 796 of the family's 1533-position model. The record is from RNAcentral.
GUGGGGAAUCUUCCGCAAUGGACGAAACUCUGAUGCAGCGACGCCGCGUGAGUGAAGAAGUAUUUCGGUAUGUAAAGCUCUAUCAGCAGGGAAGAUAAUGACAGUACCUGACUAAGAAGCACCGGCUAACUACGUGCCAGCAGCCGCGGUAAUACGUAGGGGGCAAGCGUUAUCCGGAUUUACUGGGUGUAAAGGGAGCGUAGACGGAAUGGCAAGUCUGAAGUGAAAUCCUGCGGCUUAACUGCAGAAUUGCUUUGGAAACUGUCAAUCUGGAGUGUUGGAGAGGUAAGCGGAAUUCCUGGUGUAGCGGUGAAAUGCGUAGAUAUCAGGAAGAACACCGGAGGCGAAGGCGGCUUACUGGACAAUAUCUGACGUUGAGGCGCGAAAGCGUGGGAAGCAAACAGGAUUAGAAACCCUAGUAGUCC